This 250-nucleotide ribosomal RNA is filed under the name uncultured bacterium. RNAcentral describes it as "partial 16S ribosomal RNA". It matches the Rfam family "Bacterial small subunit ribosomal RNA", at positions 1251 to 1500 of the family's 1533-position model. The record is from RNAcentral.
GAGACUGCAAAGUGGAGCGAAACCCAGAAAAGUACUCUCAGUUCAGAUUGUGGGCUGUAACCCGCCCACAUGAAGUUGGAGUUGCUAGUAAUCACGGAUCAGCAUGCCGCGGUGAAUACGUUCCCGGGCCUUGUGCACACCGCCCGUCACACCAUGGGAGUUGGGAGCGCCCGAAGCCGGUGAGGUAACCGAGAGGAGCCAGCCGUCGAAGGUGAGACCAAUGACUGGGGUGAAGUCGUAACAAGGUAGC